Molecule: long non-coding RNA, 717 nt
Filed under: Marmota monax (woodchuck)
Lineage: Eukaryota; Metazoa; Chordata; Mammalia; Rodentia; Sciuridae
Source: RNAcentral
CAGGGCCUCACACAUGCCAGACGAGCGCUCUACCGCUGAGCCACAACCCCAGCCCCCCUAGUGCCCUUUCUUGGGGGGGGGCAUGCAUUAUACACACAUCCCCAUUCCUGCCUACAAUGUUCACACUGUGAAGUGGCACUCCCUUUCUCCUCAGAAAGUAUUAACUGGGCUUCUCUAGAAAUCUUCACCAUGGCUGAUUUUAGGACUGUCAGCAAAAGAGUCUCUGCAGAAGAGUUCAAUGUAGAUAAACUUCCUAUUUUCCUGUCGCCCUGUUUUACUUGGCCACUGGCUGAGAUGAUACCAGCACUCCAAGUGCUGGACACCCCCUUACUAGUUUUUCACAAACAUACACAGUAUAGUAGUUUGUAGAAAUGUGCAAACAAGCCCUCUGGCCUUGAACUGGGUUUCACAGAGAUGUCUACAUUUUUAAGAUAAGUUACCAACUGGGCUCCAUUGUAACAACUAGCAGGGGGAGAAAAGAAAGGGGAGAAGAAGCUGUCUCCUUCUCAGGUGUUGUCCUUGAAGGGUUAACUUGUCCAAAACAGUGAAAGAAAAAGCUGCUUUUAUGUGAACUUCUGCAGACUGAACUUCUGAGCCCCACUCCUUACAUGCUGGGUAUAAAACUCUGAAACUACCUGAACUAGGGAUUCAGGAGAUUGAUUGAUUACAACAAAAGCUGUGCCCUCUGAACCUGGCUGCAGCCAAAUAAAACUGUUU